GACGAACGCUGGCGGCGUGCCUAAUACAUGCAAGUUGAGCGCAGAGACGAGGUACUUGUACCAACUGGAUGAGCAGCGGACGGGUGAGUAACGCGUGGGGAAUCUGCCUUUGAGCGGGGGACAACAUCGGGAAACGAAUGCUAAUACCGCAUAAUAACUUUAAACACAAGUUUUAAGAGUGAAAGAUGCAAUUGCUGCACCCAAAGGAGAUCCCGCGUUGUAUUAGGUAGUUGGGGAGGUAAAGGCUUACCAAGGCAAUGAUUCGUAGCCGACCUGAGAGGGUGAUCGGCCACACUGGAACUGAGACACGGCCCAGACUCCUACGGGAGGCAGCAGUAGGGAAUCUUCCGCAAUGGGCGAAAGCCUGACGGAGCAACGCCGCGUGAGUGAUGAAGGUCUUCGGAUCGUAAAACUCUGUUAUUAGGGAAGAACGAGUGUGUAAGUAACUAUGCACGUCAUGACGGUAACUAAUCAGAAAGCCACGGCUAACUACGUG
This 496-nucleotide ribosomal RNA is filed under the name uncultured bacterium. RNAcentral describes it as "partial 16S ribosomal RNA". It matches the Rfam family "Bacterial small subunit ribosomal RNA", at positions 28 to 507 of the family's 1533-position model. The record is from RNAcentral.